Molecule: long non-coding RNA, 129 nt
Organism: Alligator sinensis (Chinese alligator)
Lineage: Eukaryota; Metazoa; Chordata; Crocodylia; Alligatoridae
Exons: 3
Source: RefSeq, a predicted model, not a curated record
AGGCAUUGUACUUCAAGUUUCCCAAGCUGAAGGACCGAAAGCUCUACAACAUGGAAGUCCCCUAGACCAGGAUUUCUAGAUAUGAUUGGCCCCUUCUUUCUGAAUUUUGGAAACAAGAUGUCACACAAC